RNAcentral lists this small RNA (252 nucleotides) under Mesocricetus auratus (golden hamster). RNAcentral's name for it is "7SK RNA (ENSMAUG00000003468.1)". It matches the Rfam family "7SK RNA". From Rfam's summary of the family: 7SK was discovered as an abundant small nuclear RNA in the mid-70s but a possible function has only recently been suggested. Two independent studies have found that 7SK RNA binds the CDK9/cyclin T complex (known as elongation factor P-TEFb). Lineage: Eukaryota; Metazoa; Chordata; Mammalia; Rodentia; Cricetidae. The record is from Rfam by way of RNAcentral.
AGAUGUGAGGGCAAUGUGAGGUUAUCCUGCUGGUGUGGCUGGGCUGGGCAUCUGUCCCUUUCCUCUCUGCUCAGUGUGUGUCCCUCCCGAAGCUGUGCUGAGACAGAGAGGACCACCCUCCCCAACAGGCAAGGAUUGCUCUCAGCCAAGAGCACACCAGCAGCCGUGCCCCUGUGCUGGAAACUGCUCUUGCUCUGGCUUGAAAAUCUCCUUUUUAAAAAUUGCACUUAUUAUGUAUGGUUGUGUGCGUGU